This 207-nucleotide ribosomal RNA is filed under the name uncultured bacterium. RNAcentral describes it as "partial 16S ribosomal RNA". It matches the Rfam family "Bacterial small subunit ribosomal RNA", at positions 568 to 774 of the family's 1533-position model. The record is from RNAcentral.
CGUGUAGGCGGCCGAUUAAGCCAGGUGUAAAAUGUUACAGCUCAACUGUAAACCCGCAUCUGGAACUGGUCGGCUAGAGGACGAGAGAGGAAAGUGGAAUUCCUAGUGUAGCGGUGGAAUGCGUAGAUAUUAGGAGGGACACCAGUGGCGAAGGCGGCUUUCUGGCUCGUACCUGACGCUGAGGCGCGAAAGCGUGGGGAGCAAACA